UUCUAUAUUAUGUAUUGCCUUGAAUUGCUGUGACUAAGUUAACAAAUUUCAUGUCACAUGCAGUGAUAAUAAACCUGAUUCUGAUUCUGAGAAAGAGGCUUUCGUCACAGAAGAGAGUGCUGUUCCAGUGACAUAAAGGGUGCCCGCCUGAACAGAUCCCAAGCCCAAGGCAUUCACUGUAAAUACAAAGAAGCACAAUAGAAUCAACAAUGACCUACAUACAAACCAAGAUGGACAAACAACGCACACAAAAUGCUGGCGGAACGCUGCAGGCCAGGCAGCAUCUAUAGGGAGAAGUGCUGUCGACGUUUCGGGCUGAGACCCUUCGUCAGGACUAACUGAAAGGAAAGAUAUGUUGCAGAUCCAUCUUCCUGGCUGUUGAAGAUCUGACCAUAGAUUUCAGCUGUCCGGUCCGCUGGAGCUGGUUUCCUAUGCUGGGAUGUAUGACGUUACAUGUCCCUAUCUCACCAGAGUAUGAGGUCUCCCAAUUACCCUCACCAGCCAAAGCGGUGUUCGGGGGUGUGGCCACUGUCACGUGCAACAACAACUUGGAG
This is a long non-coding RNA of Hypanus sabinus (Atlantic stingray), 554 nucleotides long. RefSeq lists it as uncharacterized. The record is from RefSeq and is a predicted model, not a curated record. The transcript has 3 exons. Lineage: Eukaryota; Metazoa; Chordata; Chondrichthyes; Myliobatiformes; Dasyatidae.